CUGCGGCCCGCGCCGCGUGUCCACUGCGCAUGCUCGGAUCCUGCUCGCCGGCGCAUCGGCCCCUCUCACCCGGGAUGCACAGGCGCGAGUGGUGGGUGUGGGAGACCCGCAGGACCCCGGGCGGGGCAAUGUGGCAAUGGAAGGCCCUGGUAGUAGGGGGUUCGAAAGUCACCCUCUAUCCCUGUGAAGCUCCGGCUGGCACCGGCUCCCGAGUGAUAGCUCAGCCUCUGGAUCCCGCCUGUCCUUGGCGGCGGCUGCGGUCUCACAGUCGAGCGAGCGCAGCACUGUGAAACCGUUCUUUGUGUAGACAACUGGGAGAUAAACUUAGUGAGGUGGGGACAUCGGAGGGUAAACUAGAAAAAGAAUGUCUUUUGAGACAAAGAACUCUGAGGUAUUCUUUUGUCUUUUUUUUUUUUCUUUAAUGGGUAAGAAACGAGUGCUAGAAUUCAAAGCAUAAAAGGAUAAGCAAACUGGCUGUGGAUUUUAAGGAUGUGGGUUUGUAGUUGGCUAAAUAGUAUGUCACCACCCCAGUUCAUGUCCAUCUGGGACAUUCAGUGUGAGUACCAGAAAAGAAUCUUUGUAUGUGAAUUAGGUAAGGUGAUAUGCUGAAUUAAGGUGUUCCAUAAAACUAGUGAUUAGUGUUCUGAGAGGAGAGCUUACACAGACAUAGAAACGGCAGAAGGAAGAAGGCAGAAAUUGGAGGGAUGCAGCUGGAAGCUAAAGAAUGCUGGAAGUUAUCAGAGCUAAGAAAAGGUAAAAAGGGUUAUCCAAAGACCCUGACAGCAAUCUCAUUUUAUACUUAAGAGCUUCUAAAACUUUAAAGGUAGGCUUCUGUUUUAUGCCAUCUGGUUUGUUGUACUUUGUUAUUAACAACCCCAGGAAAUUAAGGCAAGGAUCAAGACAUAAAUAUUUUAAAUUCUAUCAUGCUAAUACACUUGAAGGGGCUGUGGUAGUUUGAAAGAAAAUGACCCCAAGAGGGAAUGACUCUAUUAGGAGGUGUGACUCUAUUAGGAAGUGUGUCAGUGUGGAGGCAGGCUUUGAGGUCUCAUGUAUGCUCAAGGCAUGCCCAGUAAGACAGACUUCGUUGCCUGUGAGUCAAGAUGGAAGAAUUCUCAGCUCCUUUUCUAGCACCAUGUCUGCCUGCAUGUUGCUUUGUCCUGCCAUGACAAUAAUGGCCUAAACCUCUAAAACUGAAAGCCAGGUACCAAAAUUAAAAGUUUUCCUUCGUAAGAGUUGCCAUGGUCAUGGUGUCUCUUCACAGCAAUAGAAACCCUAACUAGGACAACAGGUAAAGAUACCGGAUUCAGCAUUUUAUUUCAAAGGUUUAAAAAAAAUACUUUUGUGGUAUGUGUAAAUACAGAAUAGAUCUUUUUCUGUUACAUUAAACUUGGCAAAUAAUUACAGGGUGGGUUUGGAAAUCCACUGUGAGAGGAACUCGAGUGAAACUCCAUCUAUCUCUUUACCCCCAUCCACCCAGACGUGCCCACACUACAGGAAGUGGAAGUUUGAGAAGUAUGUGGAUAUAUACCCUGGGAAGCAUCCAGAGGCUUAGCCAAGAGCUGAAAGAUCUGGGGAAUUCUAGCCGGGCAAUAAGUAAAUCAGAAGCAAUACCGUUCUUGGAGGGAUUGCAAAGAUUAGUGCCCUGUCAGACUUGAAAUUUUGUAUUGGUGGUGAUGCCAGCCAUAUCCCUUUCCUGCUCACAUAUUUUCAUCUAGAGAACACGAGUGGGUCCUGGACAAUGACACUGAAAUCUCAAACUCAAUUAUAUGGUAAUUCCACUUAUAUUUCUAUCAAUAAUUUGCUAACAAUGGAUCUAGAAAAACUUCUUUUUUUUUUAAUCCUAUGCAUGUUGAAAAGAAAAAUAGAUGGGUUUUACUUUUGAUCAGAAGGACUAGAAAUAAGCUUCUGUGUUGUCACUUAGGUCACAGUAGCCUCCAUGUUCACUUUCCCCUCCCACAGAAUCCCAUACUUACCCAUUAACAUGGAUGGUAAUAGGCAGGAAGUGGUGAAAUGGGAAGAAAGUGAGGGAUAUCCUUGAGUUCAACAGAGGCUGUUUCAUCUCAAGCAUUCAUGGCUUGGGGCUAAAAUUCUGGAAAAACAACAUCCACCAAGGCCUCCCCAGGCCAAUAGUUUCCAGAAUGGAUUUCACAGACAACUUUAGGGUGAGGAUUAGAAAGGACUUUUUUUUUUUAAUAGAAGACAGCUCAAGACAAAGGAAGCAAGCAGCACUCCUUGAUAGCAGGAGGGGAAUCCCAAGAAAACUUGCCACUGAGGUCUUUGUUAGUAAGGCUUUACAGGAUUGAGGCAUAGGGAGGUCAACUGAUCAGGGCAAUCGACCUACCCAUACUUGUUCAUAUGCUUCUCCAUUCUGGUGGGUGGACUGGAGUUUUGAGCACACCUUCAGGACCAACAGCUUCCAGGCAGCUCAGUUCCUUAGGUUGCUAUUCGUCUUAGUUUUAUUCCCUGUUGCUGUGAUAAAAUACCUUGCCAAAAGAAAUGUAGGGGGAAAAGUUAAUUUGGACCCAAAACUCUGAGUUACACUCCAUCAUUGCAGGAUAGUCAAGGCAAUGGGAACCAGAAGCAACUAGUUACAUCCAGUUAAGAGGAGAGAGAAUAAUGUGCAUUUAUUUCCCUGUGCUCGGCUCACUUUCUCCAUUUCAUAUAAUUAGUCCAUGACACAAAAUUAGGGACAGUGUUGCCCACAUUUAGGCUGUAUCUUUUCCCAUGAUCUAGCCUAAUAAAUACAUUCUCCACCAUACUUUGUAUGACCUAAAAUAGGCCCUCACUGAGACUCCUCCCCAGGUGAUUCUAGAUUGUGUCAUCUUGACACAAUGAGCAGUCACAUUAUAUAAAAGGAAGAAAAAGGUAAGAAACCAGAACAUGAGCCAAGAUCCCUAAACAUUUUGGACACUCCUGGCCUCCAGCCAGGACAAGAACUACUGCUAGAAGAGUCCCAGCUUCUGGCUUCUGGUUGCCAAGAACAAGAAGCAGAGCCGCCCUUUUCAGGUCCCCUCACCAAACUGUCUGACCAGUUUCUUCCUCCUGCUUUUGUCAGUAGCAAUCACUCUGGACCUGUUGGUAAUGCUUCAGUGUCAUGGGUAUGGAAUAUCUCCCCCAAAUUCUAUUUCAGUGAAAUUUUAGGAUGUCAGGAUGUCACUUCUAAGAUGAAAGAUAAGUUGUUGUAUCUGGCCCUUCCUUCAGAAAGUAGGGCAUGUGCCCAGUGGGAGAAGAGAAAACUCUUCAGCAGGUCCAGACUAGCAAGCAGAUCACUGUGCCAUUCAGGCCACAUGAGCUUGCAAAUCCAGUUGUUCUUGACGUGGGACUGGCAGAUUUAGAUACCGUUUCAUCUUUGGCAGGCACACAGAGGUGAAUCACAAUACAAACUCAUAGAUUGGAAUAACACCCUGCUUUCUUUGUGGAAAACUGCUCUGUCUUUAGUUUGUUGCUGGAUGUUGGUCAGAACUGAACACUUAGAUACCACUUGACUAUGUGGCCUGAACUCGGUGCCAAAUCAUGUUGCCAGUAAAUAGUGUAGGUAUGAUCUGACUGCAUUUCUGUGGUGUUCUUCCCCAAGCCCACAGUCCCAGAAUAAUGGGGGCUGGAGUGGGGGGUGGCAUUCAGAGAACAGUUAGAAGAAGGGCCUCCUAUAAGUUACCUGACCAAGCUGGAGAGAUGGCUCAGCUGUUAAAAACCCUUGCUGUUCUUGCAGAAGCCCUGGGUUUGAUUCCCAGCACCUACCACGCAGGCUCACAACAACCUGUGACUCUGAUUCCAAAGAUGAAAAGCCCUCUUCGGACUUCCUCAGACACUACACACACAUAAUACACAUACAUACGCACAGACAGACACAUACACAUAAAAAUAAGAUAAAUACAUCUUAACAAAAGAAAACAAUUCUUCAGAACUGUCAAGAUCUUCAAAAGGAAACUAUUUGAGAGACCAUUAUAGCCAGAGGCAGUCCAAGGGCGCAGCAACUAAAUAUGCAAUGGUGGAAUCCCUUUAACACAAAAAGACAUUUUAGUUAUACAAGGAAAGUCUGAAUAAACAAUGGACUUUAUAAUAUUGGUUCAUUAACGAUUGCAAACAUACCAUGCUAAACAUGAACACUUUAGUAUUAGAACAAACUGGAUAGGAAGCAUGUGAGAACUCUGUCUGAAAUACAUUUUUUGUAAAUAAAUUGCUCUAAAAUUGAUUGUAUUUUUAAAAUUUUAACUUGUAUUUAUUGUGUGUGUGCAUAUAUAAUAUGUAUAGGGAUAAACAUGCAUGGAGAGAUAAAAGGAAAACUUAAUGGAGUCCAUUCUCUCAACUUUUCUGUGGAUCCCAAGGGACCAAACUCAAGUCUGCAGGCUUAUGUGACAGGCAUCUUGAUUAACCACUGAGGUAUCUUGUUGAGCCAAGUCUGUUGUAUUUUUCAAGAAUCAAAUCUGAAUCACCAUGUCACGAUAUUUUAAACCCAAAACUUUCCAAAAUAGUAAAACAUACCCACUUGUAGUGUUCUUGCAUGCCUCAUUUAAAUUUCUUCUUUAAUUUUGGCUUUUUGGGACAGGAUUUUUUGGACCCCAAUCUGGAUUCAAACUCACAGUGUAGCUCAAGGGUGACCUGGGAGUGAAUGUCCUGCCUCCCCUUGCCAAGUGCGAGGACUACAGGUGUUUGCCAAGACACCAUCUCAGAACUUAAACAUCA
Molecule: long non-coding RNA, 4683 nt
Filed under: Cricetulus griseus (Chinese hamster)
Lineage: Eukaryota; Metazoa; Chordata; Mammalia; Rodentia; Cricetidae
Description: lncRNA (ENSCGRG00015037341.1)
Source: RNAcentral